AUUGAACGCCGGCGGCAUGCUUUACACAUGCAAGUCGAACGGUAACAGGCCGCAAGGUGCUGACGAGUGGCGAACGGGUGAGUAAUGCAUCGGAACGUGCCCAGUCGUGGGGGAUAACGCAGCGAAAGCUGUGCUAAUACCGCAUACGAUCUAUGGAUGAAAGCGGGGGACCGUAAGGCCUCGCGCGAUUGGAGCGGCCGAUGGCAGAUUAGGUAGUUGGUGGGGUAAAGGCCCACCAAGCCAACGACCUGUAGCUGGUCUGAGAGGACGACCAGCCACACUGGGACUGAGACACGGCCCAGACUCCUACGGGAGGCAGCAGUGGGGAAUUUUGGACAAUGGGCGCAAGCCUGAUCCAGCAAUGCCGCGUGCAGGAAGAAGGCCUUCGGGUUGUAAACUGCUUUUGUACGGAACGAAACGGUCUGGGUUAAUACCCUGGGCUAAUGACGGUACCGUAAGAAUAAGCACCGGCUAACUACGUGCCAGCCGCCGCCGUAA
RNAcentral lists this ribosomal RNA (498 nucleotides) under uncultured bacterium. Its description in RNAcentral is "partial 16S ribosomal RNA". It matches the Rfam family "Bacterial small subunit ribosomal RNA", at positions 29 to 523 of the family's 1533-position model. The record is from RNAcentral.